AUCAAGCACACAUAAAACUUAUUGUUCUUCACACUUAAUACAUCAAUUCUUAUCAGAAUUUCAAAUACAUAUGCUAUAGCAUCAUCAGGCACACAUAAAGCUCAUUGGCAAGUAAAGCCGCAACAAUAUUAUGAUUUCAACCCUCGAAAUUCAACUGCAUCCCUUGUCAACUAUCAAGGCAUCAUUCGCGAGCAACAAGGACUACCUGUUUGCCAACAUUUCGACCUGCAAAGAGGCCAAUAAGCGCUGACGGAGCCUUCUCGAUUCCUUCGACA
RNAcentral lists this unclassified non-coding RNA (275 nucleotides) under Hevea brasiliensis (rubber tree). Lineage: Eukaryota; Viridiplantae; Streptophyta; Magnoliopsida; Malpighiales; Euphorbiaceae. The record is from RNAcentral.